AUGCAAGUCGUAGCGGUAACAGAGAGAAGCUUGCUUCUCUGCUGACGAGCGGCGGACGGGUGAGUAAUGCCUAGGAAUCUGCCUAGUAGUGGGGGAUAACUUGCCGAAAGGUAAGCUAAUACCGCAUACGUCCUACGGGAGAAAGGAGGGGACCUUCGGGCCUUUCGCUAUUAGAUGAGCCUAGGUCGGAUUAGUUAGUUGGUGAGGUAAUGGCUCACCAAGACCGCGAUCCGUAACUGGUCUGAGAGGAUGAUCAGUCACACUGGAACUGAGACACGGUCCAGACUCCUACGGGAGGCAGCAGUGGGGAAUAUUGGACAAUGGGGGGAACCCUGAUCCAGCCAUGCCGCGUGUGUGAAGAAGGUCUUAGGAUUGUAAAGCACUUUAAGUUGGGAGGAAGAGCAGUUAACUAAUAUUUGACUGUUUUGACGUUACCGACAGAAUAAGCACCGGCUAACUUCGUGCCAGCAGCCGCGGUAAUACGAAGGGUGCAAGCGUUAAUCGGAAUUACUGGGCGUAAAGCGCGCGUA
Molecule: ribosomal RNA, 530 nt
Filed under: bacterium 8BL
Lineage: Bacteria
Description: bacterial SSU rRNA
Rfam family: Bacterial small subunit ribosomal RNA
Source: RNAcentral